This 336-nucleotide unclassified non-coding RNA is filed under the name soil metagenome. Its description in RNAcentral is "partial contains 5.8S ribosomal RNA, internal transcribed spacer 2, and large subunit ribosomal RNA". The stretch from base 1 to 120 matches the Rfam family "5.8S ribosomal RNA", at positions 35 to 154 of the family's 154-position model. The record is from RNAcentral.
GAUGAAGAACGUAGCGAAAUGCGAUAAGUAAUGUGAAUUGCAGAAUUCAGUGAAUCAUCGAAUCUUUGAACGCACAUUGCGCCCGCCAGUAUUCUGGCGGGCAUGCCUGUUCGAGCGUCAUUUCAACCAUCAAGCCCCAGGCUUGUGUUGGGGACCUGCGGCUGCCGCAGGCCCUGAAAACCAGUGGCGGGCUCGCUGUCACACCGGGCGUAGUAGAUUUUAUCUCGCUCAGGGCGUGCUGCGGGUUCCGGCUGUUAAAAAGCCUUUUUUACCCAAGGUUGACCUCGGAUCAGGUAGGAAGACCCGCUGAACUUAAGCAUAUCAAUAAGCGGAGGA